ACUCAUACGGGAGGCAGCAGUAGGGAAUAUUGGUUAAUGUGCGAAAGCGCGAACCAGCAACGCCGCGUGUGCGAUGAAGGCCUUCGGGUCGUAAAGCACUUUUUGCAGGGAAGAGGAAGGACGGUACCUGCAGAAUAAGUCUCGGCUAACUACGUGCCAGCAGCCGCGGUAAAACGUAGGAGACGAGCGUUAUCCGGAUUUACUGGGCGUAAAGCGCGUGCAGGCGGCAUGGCAAGUUGGAUGUGAAAGCUCCCGGCUUAACUGGGAGAGGUCGUUCAAUACUGCCAGGCUUGAGAGUGGUAGAGGGAAGCGGAAUUCCGGGUGUAGUGGUGAAAUGCGUAGAUAUCCGGAGGAACACCAGUGGCGAAAGCGGCUUCCUGGCCCAUUUCUGACGCUCAGACGCGAAAGCUAGGGUAGCAAACGGGAUUAGAGACCCCGGUAGUCCUAGCCGUAAACGAUGUGAACUUGGCGUUGGCGGGUUUAAAUCCGUCAGUGCCGUAGCUAACGCGAUAAGUUCACCGCCUGGGGACUACGGCCGCAAGGUUAAAACUCAAAGGAAUUGACGG
This 566-nucleotide ribosomal RNA is filed under the name uncultured bacterium. RNAcentral's name for it is "bacterial SSU rRNA". It matches the Rfam family "Bacterial small subunit ribosomal RNA", at positions 335 to 916 of the family's 1533-position model. The record is from RNAcentral.